Molecule: long non-coding RNA, 275 nt
Organism: Bombus pyrosoma
Lineage: Eukaryota; Metazoa; Arthropoda; Insecta; Hymenoptera; Apidae
Exons: 3
Source: RefSeq, a predicted model, not a curated record
AGCAUGUAGUUUUUUAUUUUUCGUUUUUUGUAUAUACAUUUUUUAAAUUUACAUUUUCGGCAUUAGAGUCAGUGCUCAACAGGAUACAGCCUCUCCACAACCUUAACAAUGUUUUCCACUACCUCGGCUUCUCCCUGUUCUCUGAAUCUGAUGGUGCUUUAAAAGCGAAGAACGUUUUUCACGGUCUUCAUUUCCACCAUGAAGUCCGAUAAUUCUUCCUCGAUGACCUCUGUUAUGACCGCUAUUGCAGCAUCGAUGACGAUGACGAAUUUCUC